UGCUGGGCCAGGUCAUAGUAUUGCCAGUGUGGAUUCCGUGUGACUUUCUCUUCCUUCAGCCUGGUAACCAGCAACUGUACAGUAGCCUGGAUCCCUGUGUCACUAUGGAGAGCACAGCCUACCUGCAGUGGACACACACAUCAAAGAGAAAGAAUCCGUUUUAUUUCAAGGUUGAUGUGUCACAUAAAGCCCCUCUGCCUAGUCAACUGUCUGCAUGGAAGUCUCAGGUGACUUGCCUUCUUGGAGAUGGAGCAGCUUGUUCAUGUGGCCUCCUCCGGUGCUCUUUGUUUUUGGGACUGGCCUUGCUCCAGCCUGUGUAUGUGAUCAUUUUCCAGCUUCAACCUCUCCCCAUAGAUUAUAAAUUAAACCUACUAAGUACAUUUAUUUUUUCAUUCUCCCUGCACAAAACAAAGUCAAAAUAUAUACAACUCCCCACCUCUCAAUUCCUUCAGAGAAAGCAUCUAGAGGUUCCACAUAAGCCAUGUCAAGGAUUUUUGCUUUUACUCUUUAAGAAUUUGUUUAUAUUUGUGUUUUUGAACACUACUGCAGAAUGGAUACAUGGGAAGGAGCUGGAGGAAGCAUCAGGCCUACCCAAGGUCAACCACUGUGAUGAAAAGUGUGUUGUCUCUGCUAGAAUUGAUGAGUCAGUGAUUCACACUUCUACCAUCCAAAAACUGGAGCAAAUAGCAGCUACUCUUUACAUGUCUUCAGAUAUCUUCAUAGCUUGAUGAGAAGCUUGAGGGGAAGCUACCACUAUCAGUGAGGUUUGUAUUCCAUGUCUGCCUGAGGAGUCUGCACUUAAGUGGAAAUGUCAUGGUGUUUUAGAAUAGGAUGGUAGUGUGGGGUGAAGCACAAAAGGAAUUGGAACCUCUUAGUGUUAUUAUCUCUACAGUGGGAUAACCAUCCUCACUCCACCUAACAUCCAAGGCUUUAGUAAGGAUUAUGUGAGAUAAUAUUUGCAGAAAUUCUUUGUGAAUGCUGUAGCACUCUCAAAUCUCAAUAGGCUUGCUUGCUUUCUCUCUCCCUUUCUCUUUCUUUCUUUCUUUCUUUCUUUCUUUCUUUCUUUCUUUCUUUCUCUCUCUCUUUUCUUUCUCCCUCCCUCUUUUUUCUUUCUUUCCAUCUUGAUAUCCUGAGACAUACCAAAGUGCCUGAUAUUUAGUAAUGCUUAAUAAAUGUGAAGCAGUUAAGUUAAUAUCCGGCCAUAUGUUCUUGCUUGUGGGGUUUAUCUAGGGUUAUUUCAUGAUGUUAUGAGUCUGGGAGAAGUCAGGACUCCACAUCCGUCUCUUGAGUGACAGAUCCUCGAAAGGAGCCUUUCCAAGCUUAGGUAACCUGAGAGUUUAUUGAAAUAUAUGUGAUAUGGGUAGCCUUGGGUCUCCUUGUUAAUUCAGCAACUCUCCAGAUGGCUUCUAUUUACUCCUCCGUGGUCUACACUUUUACUGUUCUUACCCAUCUUGGUCUAAGUACAGAGCUUAUCUGCUUCUCUAGUCUACAAGAAAGAGCCCAUCUUUGCUACGUAUUAUCUGCUUAACAACUGUAUAAAAUAUUCAAAGGGCUGCAGAGAGAAAUCUCAUUGCAUCUUGCAGAGCAUUCUAACAUCCCAAUGGCUCUGUUCUUCAUUUUUAUUUUAAUUUUCUUCCCUUCCCCCUUUAAACAACUUGGACAUUUCUCUCUUUACAUCUGAAGAAUUCAAUUCUACUCAAACCCAUGUCCUUCAUAGCUUAUCCUUUUAAUCCUCCCUGCAGUUUUUUCUCAAACAAAUGCAGCUCCAUUUCUUAAGACACCUUAAAUACCAAGCUCCAAGCUCAGACACCUUAAAUACCGAAACACCUUAAUACCUAAGUAACCACAGUGCUUAUUAACAUCAAUAUGAUUUUAUGUUAUUUGAUACAAAUGUGCUAAAAUCAUUUAAAAUUUUCUUUCACAAGUGUACUUUAUCAACUUUUUAAAAUGUCUAGGGAUCAUUUCUAUCUUUGGUGCAAAAAAAAAGGGGGAGAAAAACUUAACAACAUGAUAUUCCAUCUCAGAUAUAAGGCAUAUACAUAUAUUGGAAAACAAUAAGACAAUACAUGAUUUCUUGAAUUGUUCCAUUAUCCUGUAUUUAGCUCAGGCUUGUGACCGAGAUAGUACUUGCUAAAAACCCCAGUGGGCCACUAACAAGUCACAUAACUUGGGAAGAUCAUUACUCUAAGUCUGUUCCCUGAUGCAUAAGUUGUCAGAAAUAAAUGCAAUUAAAUAAGAUUGAAUCACUUUGUAAGAUGUAUUGGCUUUUAGUAUUUUACCCAGAUUACUUAGGUUGCUACAACUUGAAAUAGCUCAGUAUCAAGAGGAAUUAACCCUCCUCUACACCACUUUCUCUUGGCCAUCAGCUCGAAGUAGGGAGAUAUCUAACAAUGAGGGUCCUUUCACUGUUUAUAAUUAAAGUCUCUCCCCCAAACUAUGUCCUGUAGAUAGACAGACAUUGAAGAAUAGUAUUAAAAUGCAAGCCUUAGCUAUAGUCAUGCCAAUCUCAUGAGUAGAGCAGCCAGUCCUUCCAGUGGUUUAGUUGAACAAGUGUCAGAAACAGUACCAUCUCAACUUCUCCAAUGGGUGGACAAGUCCUCAAUGCUUUGCUGAAUUUUCUUUGAGUUGUACAGUGGUCUCAGCUGUUUCUACUUAGUCUUUCUUCCUUUUGUCCGUCACUGAGAGUCACUAUGCACUGUGGUCUGAUCAGUCGUCCAGCCUUUUCCUACCCUCUCCCUGUUUUUCCUUACAAAGAUAUUUUCCCUAAUGAAACCCUUACUUUCAAUUUUGGAACUGACCUUAGAAGUAGUGGUUAAGGCGAAUCAGACCUUAGAAGCCGUUUUCUUAGCUUUGUUAAUGCCUCCACUAAUCAUAAGGCAGCAUGAACAAGGUCUGAGCAGGUCCUCACUAUCCAUCUCUAGGGUGACAGCCAAAGUUACAGGUCAGUAGUGGCAUCUUCCAAGGUGAAAGACUGGCUUCAAGUUUGCAUCUUUCUCUUGGUUAUGCUUGAAAAAUAUUUAUUAUUUGAAAUAAUUGUUGGAAAUUUCAUUAGCUAUAAAAGUUUUAGUAUUUCAUUUUAAAGUGCCUUUAUCAAUGCCGAACAAAUGUGACACUUUUGGCCUUGGAGAAAACAAAGGAACUAUCAUCAGCAUAGGAGAAUUGACAUGAAAGGUCAGUAAAGAGUACCAAGGACAGAUUAUGGAGGGAAUUAUCUCCAGCUAACAUCUUUAUUUUUUAUUUUCAAAAGCAAAACAGAAAAAAGAAUUUCUAAAGAAUAGUAGGAAAUUAACACUAGUUAAUACGAUGCAUAUUGUUAUCUUAUUGUUAUCUAUUGUUCAGGUUACAAGAUCUAGGCCUAAAAAAAUGAUCAAACAGUCAAACACUGACAGCACAAACUGUUCUUCCCAGCUAACAUCUUUUGCAGAAGAGCAAACAUUGUCAACUGUAGCACAAGCACUAGAAUGGAACAUGAGGAAUUUGGCCUUGAGUAAUGAAAAAUGUUACAGACUAAUCUCUGAAAGCAGCUUUUUCUUUUGUAGUGAGACCCCAGACUAGUGGUUCCUAAAUUUAGUGUGCAUAAGAGUCACCUGAAGGCUUAUCAAAUUGCAGACUCCAGCAAAGAUCCUGAUUCUACGUGUUUGGGUUACUGUCACAUUUAAACCCAGAACUGCCCGGCACAGUUUGUCUGGGAUAGUUUAAUGUUUAGGAUAUAGGAAGUAGAAGGAUAGACUGGGUGAGUUGUCCUCAGAGGCAGUUUUCUCUAGAAAUCAAUUAUUUGUCUUUAAAAAGAAUAUUUGGAAUCAUCUCAGGAGAUUUCUGAAAAAUUUUUAUGCUCUAAAUUUAUCAAUCAUUUUGGAGCUAGUUUUUCCUCCAUUGAUAUAAUAUCAACCUAGCAAGCAUUCAGUCUCUUCCACUGUAGAAGGCCCAUUACUAACGCUACUUUGGGGGCAGUGGUGAAGACAAAAUGAGACAAUAUCUGUGUAGCAGGACAACAUCUUGCAUAUGAUAAACCAGGAGGUGGCAAAUUUCUGAAAAGGGCCAGAUGGUCAGUACAUUAGGAUUUGUGGGCUACUGGGCUCUGUUGCAACUUGUACUCAUCUGCACACAAAAGCAGCCAGAGACAAUGAAUGUGUGUGGCCGCACUGUAAUAAAACUAUUUCAGAAAAGCAGGUUUUAGCUGCAUCUGGCCCGCCACCAGGAGUCUGCUGACCUUUGUUGUUAAGGUUUAUGAUCUUUGAUAACUUGGCAAGGUUUUCUUUUUCUUUUCAUUAAGGUUUUCUUUUUUAUUAAGAAUUAAGUACAUCCGCCAUUUGCAAUUUUUUUGGAAAGGAAUUGCUUAUAGGAGCAAUGAAAGCAGUAUUUUUGAGUGUAAAUGUUGGUAUUAUGUCAAUGAACUUUAUAAAAAAUUUCCACCUAGAGAGAUCGCCAUUAUGUGGUUCCAGAUCACUGAGGGUGCCGCAGUGGGCACCUAGCCAAGCUGCCCCAGCCAAGAUUUGAUAAAUUAUCAGCUUGCAUACAGCAGCAAAGAUUCCAUUUAUUGUGCAAAAGCACACCGAUAUACAGACUUUUAUGUUUAAAAAAGCUGUUUACAAACAACUGUUUGUAUCAUUGAAAGCUCUGUUAUUGUGUUUUUCUUUUAAGGCAAAUGAUCUUAGUAUGAGUUUUUUUUUUUUUUUUUUU
This is a long non-coding RNA of Cavia porcellus (domestic guinea pig), 4680 nucleotides long. RefSeq lists it as uncharacterized. NCBI's taxonomy places the organism in Eukaryota, Metazoa, Chordata, Mammalia, Rodentia, Caviidae. The transcript is spliced from 2 exons. The record is from RefSeq and is a predicted model, not a curated record.